RNAcentral lists this ribosomal RNA (482 nucleotides) under uncultured bacterium. Its description in RNAcentral is "bacterial SSU rRNA". It matches the Rfam family "Bacterial small subunit ribosomal RNA", at positions 30 to 506 of the family's 1533-position model. The record is from RNAcentral.
UUGAACGCUGGCGGCAUGCCUUACACAUGCAAGUCGAACGGCAGCACGGGAGCAAUCCUGGUGGCGAGUGGCGAACGGGUGAGUAAUAUAUCGGAACGUGCCCAGUCGUGGGGGAUAACGCAGCGAAAGCUGUGCUAAUACCGCAUACGAUCUCUGGAUGAAAGCGGGGGAUCGCAAGACCUCGCGCGAUAAGAGCGGCCGAUAUCUGAUUAGCUAGUUGGUGGGGUAAGGGCCUACCAAGGCGACGAUCAGUAGCUGGUCUGAGAGGACGACCAGCCACACUGGGACUGAGACACGGCCCAGACUCCUACGGGAGGCAGCAGUGGGGAAUUUUGGACAAUGGGGGAAACCCUGAUCCAGCCAUUCCGCGUGAGUGAAGAAGGCCUUCGGGUUGUAAAGCUCUUUCGGCAGGGAAGAAAAGGCUACGGAUAAUACCUGUGGUUCAUGACGGUACCUGAAGAAGAAGCACCGGCUAACUACGU